Molecule: ribosomal RNA, 446 nt
Filed under: uncultured bacterium
Lineage: Bacteria
Description: partial 16S ribosomal RNA
Rfam family: Bacterial small subunit ribosomal RNA
Source: RNAcentral
CCUACGGGUGGCAGCAGUCGAGAAUCAUUCACAAUGGGGGAAACCCUGAUGGUGCGACGCCGCGUGGGGGAAUGAAGGUCUUCGGAUUGUAAACCCCUGUCAUGUGGGAGCAAAUUAAAAAGAUAGUACCACAAGAGGAAGAGCCGGCUAACUCUGUGCCAGCAGCCGCGGUAAUACAGAGGUCUCAAGCGUUGUUCGGAAUCACUGGGCGUAAAGCGUGCGUAGGCUGUUUCGUAAGUCGGGUGUGAAAGGCGCGGGCUCAACCCGCGGACGGCAGAUGAUACUGGGGGACUAGAGUAAGGGAAAGGGAACCGGAAUUCUCGGUGUAGCAGUGAAAUGCGUAGAUAUCGAGAAGAACACUCAUGGCGAAGGCAGGUUCCUGGAGAGGAACUGACGCUGAGGCACGAAGGCCAGGGGAGCGAAAGGGAUUAGAUACCCUGGUAGUC